AUUUAGUUUUGAUCAUGUUAUGAGUCAUUUUUCUAGAUCAAGUCCAUUAGUUAGUUUGCAUUUAAUUAAGUGCUUCAAACUAAAGUUUUUCUUGAGAAGAAAUUAGCUUGUGAAGAAAAACAUUAAAACUUUAACUAUAACAAAUUUAUCGCAGAAAUUACGAAGCGAUAAACAUGCCAAACUAGUGACUAUACAUAAUCCUGCGGACCAAUCAAAGUAAGCAGUCAUUCUAAUCGACUUAGAAUUCGUCCUGCACUUUCCGUGAUAUGGUCGAUAUAGGCGAGUACCCUGUUGUUUCCAAGAUUUUGUGACUUUGUGUAAUUAUUUUAAAAAAUGGGGUUGACAGGAAUGCUUCGUGUUUUUAAUAAAAUGAAGUUGAACUUCAGCAUGUACUCUAGAGCCUAUUUACAUGUGAAACAUGAAGUGAAAAAUGGUGUUGCUGUUGUUAAGUUUGAUUCUCCAAAUUCUAAGGUUAAUACAUUGUCACGAGAGGUUACAGCAGAAGUGGAGCAAGUCAUGAAACGUG
Long non-coding RNA from Stegodyphus dumicola, 526 nucleotides. Lineage: Eukaryota; Metazoa; Arthropoda; Arachnida; Araneae; Eresidae. The record is from RefSeq and is a predicted model, not a curated record.